GUCAUGACUCAUUCUGAUUUUAUAUGAACUCCUUAACGCCAGCCUUCCUGGGAAAUGACUUUUUAUAGACUACUUCCCAGAUGCUUUCACACUUAACCAUCUGCAGGUCAAUUAGUUUCUGAUUCACAAGAUAUUCAAUGAGAAUAUAUUUUACUCUUUUCCCUAUAUCAGAUGUCAUGUUCAUGUACCUUAACAUUGUAAUUUAAAUGAUCUUCUGGGGGAUGGUGUGAUGCCUAUCAUGGUUGCUGCUAGAUAUUGCAGAGCUGAGUAGUCUUCCUUUUUUUUUAUCAAUUGCCUAGUGUUUUCCCCCGAUAUACAAGGUCUAUGCUUCUUCCUUCUACUGUGGCAUACGUAUGAUCAGAGUGCUUCCAGUUGAAUUGGUAGAAUCAGCAGCAUUACAACUUUAAGUCUGUUUUUCACCAAAAAAUCUCAAUGGAUUUUCCAUUUUUAUACUUUUCACUUUCUAUACAGGUGCUUGAAAUUCUCUUCUGUACGUUUAAUUCAUCAAAACAUGAGCUUUGAUUAUUAUCAUUAUUAUCAUUGGCCAUAAAGGAAUUAUGUUUAAUAUAUUUUGUUUAAAAUCUAAAGUGCAGACAUUUUAUAUCGUGAUUAACUGAUCCUUUCUGAUGCUCGCAGAUUCAUUGAGAUACACAUCUGC
RNAcentral lists this unclassified non-coding RNA (658 nucleotides) under Hevea brasiliensis (rubber tree). The record is from RNAcentral. Lineage: Eukaryota; Viridiplantae; Streptophyta; Magnoliopsida; Malpighiales; Euphorbiaceae.